NNNNNNNNNNNNNNNNNNNNNNNNNNGCUGAGUUUAAGCAUAUCACUAAGCGGAGGAACCGAAACUAACAAGGAUUUCCCUAGUAGCGGCGAGCGAAACGGAAAGAGCCCAGCUUGGAAAUCGGGGUGUCUCUGCACCCCGAAUUGUAGUCUGGAGAAGGGUCCUCUGCAGCGGACCGGGUUUAAGUCCCUUGGAACGGGACGCCAGAGAGGGUGAGAGCCCCGUCUAGCCCGGACCCUGCUGCAUCACGAGGCUCUUUCGGCGAGUCGGGCUGUUUGGGAAUGCAGCCUUAAGUGGGUGGUAAAUUCCAUCCAAGGCUAAAUACUGGUGAGAGACCGAUAGCGCACAAGUACCGCGAGGGAAAGAUGAAAAGGACUUUGAAAAGAGAGUUAAAAAGUGCUUGAAAUUGCUGGGAGGGAAGCGAAUGGAUGCCUUGUGCGCCCCUUGGUUGUGUGUGGAACGGCGAGAGCUGGUCUGCCAAGCAAUGCAAGGGGCUGUCCAGCAUGGGAGGACGCGGCGGGAUAACGGCUUGUGAGCCUCUGGCUCCCUGCCAAUGCCGCCGCUGCCUCUGAAAAUGGCGGGGUGCUCCGGUGCCCCGCCAGAUGCUGGAACUUGGGCGUUCCAUCCGACCCGUCUUGAAACACGGACCAAGGAGUCUAACAUGUAUGCGAGUCUGUGGGUGUUAAACCCGUACAGGCGAAAGGAAACUAAUUCGUGGGAUCCCCUUCGGGGGUGCACCACGGACCGACCUUGAUCUUUUGAGAAGGGUUUGAGUGUUAGCAUACCUGCUGGGACCCGAAAGAUGGUGAACUAUGCCUGAGCAGGGCGAAGCCAGAGGAAACUCUGGUGGAGGCUCGUAGCGAUACUGACGUGCAAAUCGUUCGUCAGACUUGGGUAUAGGGGCGAAAGACUAAUCGAACCAUCUAGUAGCUGGUACCCUCCGAAGUUUCCCUCAGGAUAGCUGGAGCUCUUGCUGAGUUUUAUCGGGUAAAGCGAAUGAUUAGAGGCAUCGGGGGUGAAACACCCUCGACCUAUUCUCAAACUUUAAAUAGGUAAAGCAGCCGGGGUUGCUCUGUUGAGCCCCGGCCGUGAAUGCGAGCUCCAAGUGGGCCAUUUUUGGUAAGCAGAACUGGCGAUGCGGGAUGAACCGAAAGCCGGGCUACGGUGCCAAAGUGCGCGCUAACCCAGAUCCCACAAAGGGUGUUGAUUGAUUAAGACAGCAGGACGGUGGUCAUGGAAGUCGAAAUCCGCUAAGGAGUGUGUAACAACUCACCUGCCGAAUCAACUAGCCCCGAAAAUGGAUGGCGCUUAAGCGCGCGGCCUAUGCCCGGCCAUCAAGGCGAUUGCGAGGCCCCGAUGAGUAGGAGGGCGUGGGUUAAAUGGUCUGUGGUGCGUCAGAUAUUGACUCCGUCUGUCAAGCCUGCCGUCUUCCUUCUCUUUAAAGAGAAACUUUUUU
This 1456-nucleotide non-coding RNA is filed under the name Selaginella moellendorffii. RNAcentral's name for it is "Eukaryotic large subunit ribosomal RNA". It matches the Rfam family "Eukaryotic large subunit ribosomal RNA", at positions 1 to 1435 of the family's 3401-position model. Lineage: Eukaryota; Viridiplantae; Streptophyta; Lycopodiopsida; Selaginellales; Selaginellaceae. The record is from Rfam by way of RNAcentral.